Molecule: long non-coding RNA, 1400 nt
Filed under: Felis catus (domestic cat)
Lineage: Eukaryota; Metazoa; Chordata; Mammalia; Carnivora; Felidae
Description: lncRNA (ENSFCAG00000053230.1)
Source: RNAcentral
GCAUCUUUUAUUUCCAUGCCUUCCGUGAGUGCUUAAUAAAUGCACAAGUGAUUGAAUGAGUGUGUGCGUGCAUGAAUGAAUGCCCAUUACAGAAAGUAAACUGUUAACCUCUCACGAAGUGAAAUGGGCUUAAAGCACGAGAUACUUGAGGUAGACGCGGGGCCAGUCUUGCAGCCCCCAGAUUGGCCAGCCCAAUUCCCUGCCUGGCCUCGUCCACCCUGGGGCUGCAUCGUGAGGCGUGUCGGGGGGGGGGGGGGAGCCAGCUUCGUGCCUGCGAGGACAGCAAUGUGACACAGUUUAAUUAGCACAAGAGUAAAUUACAUCAGACGUAGCGAGCCCCGACUUCUCCCGACGGCGUGGGGAAAAUGGAAGCCUAGCAUUUUCAAUUUAAGGUUUAGUUAGAUAAUACCUAUUGGUGCCAGUAGAUUACAGAGUGGAUAUUAAAUCCUGCAGGAUUUGGAAUCGGAGCGUACAAAUGGAAUCCAUAAGUAGGGGGAAGCAGCCGGAAGGAGCUGGCCCUGUGUCCUCGGCUAACAAGAAAGCGUCUCUGCAGCCAGCUCAGACCCGGGUCCUUAAGCUCCCACCAAAGACUCCAGGCCGGGAACUGCUCCUUAGCCUCCAAGACCUGUCCACAUGGCCACACUCUUCUAGAACAAAACGGAAUAACCCCUGACGUCAUGGAGUCCCUACUGCAGCGGGUCCUGGAGAUCCAGGCCCAGGGCAGAGCUUAGAUGCCUCGGAGGCUCCCAGACCCUCCCUUCUGAGCAGGGAAGGCUUCUGUUGGGGAGGGACCCAGGCCCUGACAGGGCGUGGAGGUAAGGAGGGGAAGCUGGGCUGGGUAAGGGGAGCCUCGGGGAUUUGCGAAUCUGAUCCACCCAGUUCUCAAGCCAGUCCUGGUCACGGAGCCCCCUCUGGGACGGAGCUCGAUUCCCAGUCCUCCCAACUAUCCUCGCUGUGAUCCUUAGCUCACAAACUAUCACAGCUGGGAAGGGACCUCAGGAAUGAUCCAGUGAAAACACCACCUCCUUCUGUAGAUGGGGAAGGCCAGGCCCAGAGAGGGCAUGCAUCUGUCCCAGAUCACACAGCCAGAAGCGACUGAGCCAGGAAGAGAACUCCCAGCGACCUAGCCAGGGCUCUCUGCUCAGCCCCAGCUCUGCCUCCCCCCUCCCGCAGCCCAGAGCCCUAUGGCCCUUCCCCCACGUGCCUGUAGGCUACCCACAGCAGGCCUAGAAUUGCCUAAAGCCCACAGCCUUCGGGGACCAGACACAGGGGAGCAGGGACAGGGACUUGGCUGGGGCUGAGAGGAAAAAGAGUGGAAGCAGCAUUGAUCCUCUCCUUUCUCUCCCUUUCUGGGAGAGACACCUCCCUUCCUCUGCACUCCCGUCCCUGAGCCCCUGUCU